UACGUAGGGUGCAAGCGUUAAUCGGAAUUACUGGGCGUAAAGCGUGCGCAGGCGGUGAUGUAAGACAGGUGUGAAAUCCCCGGGCUUAACCUGGGAACUGCAUUUGUGACUGCAUCGCUGGAGUGCGGCAGAGGGGGAUGGAAUUCCGCGUGUAGCAGUGAAAUGCGUAGAUAUGCGGAAGAACACCAGUGGCGAAGGCGGCUCACUGGAUCGGUACUGACGCUGAGACGCGAAAGCGUGGGGAGCGAACAGG
This 253-nucleotide ribosomal RNA is filed under the name uncultured bacterium. Its description in RNAcentral is "partial 16S ribosomal RNA". It matches the Rfam family "Bacterial small subunit ribosomal RNA", at positions 524 to 776 of the family's 1533-position model. The record is from RNAcentral.